Molecule: ribosomal RNA, 805 nt
Filed under: uncultured marine archaeon
Lineage: Archaea
Description: bacterial SSU rRNA
Rfam family: Archaeal small subunit ribosomal RNA
Source: RNAcentral
CUACCGCUAUUGGAGUUCGAUUAAGCCAUGCGAGUCUAGAGGCCUAGCCUCGGCGUACCGCUCAGUAACACGUGGGUAACCUACCCUAUGCUGAGGAAUAAGCUCGGGAAACUGAGAAUAAUACCCCAUAGUCCACUACGCCUGGAACGGUGAGUGGAUCAAAGCUCCGGCGGCAUAGGAUGGGCCUGCGGCGUAUCAGGUUGUAGGGGGUGUAAUGUACCCUCUAGCCAUCCACGCGUACGGGUGUUGGGAGACAUUGCCCGGAGAUGGAUUCUGAGACACGAAUCCAGACCCUACGGGGUGCAGCAGGCGCGAAAACUUGGCAAUGCGAGAAAUCGUGACCAGGGAACUCCAAGUGGCAGGGGUAAGACCCUGUCUUUUUCCGACUCUAAAUAGGUCGGCGAAUAAGGGGUGGGUAAGGACGGUGCCAGCCGCCGCGGUAAUACCGGCGCCUCAAGUGGUAGUCGCUUUUAUUGGGCCUAAAACGUCCGUAGCCGGUCUGGUACAUUCGUGGGUAAAUCAACUCGCUCAACGAGUUGAAUUCUGCGAGGACGGCCAGACUUGGGACCGGGAGAGGUGUGGGGUACUCUCAAGGUAGGGGUAAAAUCCUGUCAUCCUGAGGAGGACCACCUGUUGCGAAGGCUCCACACUAGAACAGAUCCGACGGUCAGGGACUAAGCCUAGGGGCACGAACCGGGAUUAGAUACCCGGGUAGUCCUAGGUGUAAACGCUGUGGACUUGAUGUUUGGGGACGCUCCGAGCGUUCUCAGUGUCGAAGCGAAAGUGAUAAGUCCACUGCCUGGGG